This 253-nucleotide ribosomal RNA is filed under the name uncultured bacterium. RNAcentral's name for it is "partial 16S ribosomal RNA". It matches the Rfam family "Bacterial small subunit ribosomal RNA", at positions 524 to 776 of the family's 1533-position model. The record is from RNAcentral.
UACGUAGGGUGCAAGCGUUGUCCGGAAUUAUUGGGCGUAAAGAGCUCGUAGGCGGUCUGUCGCGUCGGAUGUGAAAAUCCAGGGCUCAACCCUGGACCUGCAUUCGAUACGGGCAGACUAGAGUUCGGCAGGGGAGACUGGAAUUCCUGGUGUAGCGGUGAAAUGCGCAGAUAUCAGGAGGAACACCGGUGGCGAAGGCGGGUCUCUGGGCCACUACUGACGCUGAGAAGCGAAAGCAUGGGGAGCGAACAGG